RNAcentral lists this ribosomal RNA (253 nucleotides) under uncultured bacterium. Its description in RNAcentral is "partial 16S ribosomal RNA". It matches the Rfam family "Bacterial small subunit ribosomal RNA", at positions 524 to 776 of the family's 1533-position model. The record is from RNAcentral.
UACGGAGGGUGCGAGCGUUGUUCGGAAUCACUGGGCGUAAAGGGCGUGUAGGCGGUCCGCUAAGUCUGAUGUGAAAGCCCGGGGCUCACCCCCGGAAGUGCAUUGGAAACUGGCGAACUCGAGUCCCGGAGAGGAGAGUGGAAUUCCUGGUGUAGCGGUGAAAUGCGUAGAUAUCAGGAGGAACACCGGUGGCGAAGGCGGCUCUCUGGACGGUGACUGACGCUGAGGAGCGAAAGCGUGGGGAGCAAACAGG